UACGUAGGGUGCGAGCGUUGCCCGGAUUUAUUGGGCGUAAAGAGCUCGUAGGUGGUUCGGUAAGUCGGAUGUGAAAUCUCCAGGCUCAACCUGGAGGGGUCAUUCGAUACUGCCGUGACUAGAGGUCGGUAGGGGAGUGUGGAAUUCCUGGUGGAGCGGUGAAAUGCGCAGAUAUCAGGAGGAACACCCGUAGCGAAGGCGGCACUCUGGGCCGAUACUGACACUGAGGAGCGAAAGCGUGGGGAGCGAACAGG
Molecule: ribosomal RNA, 254 nt
Filed under: uncultured bacterium
Lineage: Bacteria
Description: partial 16S ribosomal RNA
Rfam family: Bacterial small subunit ribosomal RNA
Source: RNAcentral